GGGGAUUUAGCUCAGUGGCAGAGUGCUUGCCUAGCAAGCAGAAGACCCUGGGUUCGGUCCUCAGCUCCG
Molecule: transfer RNA, 69 nt
Filed under: Rattus norvegicus (Norway rat)
Lineage: Eukaryota; Metazoa; Chordata; Mammalia; Rodentia; Muridae
Rfam family: tRNA
About the family: Transfer RNA (tRNA) molecules are approximately 80 nucleotides in length. Their secondary structure includes four short double-helical elements and three loops (D, anti-codon, and T loops).
Source: Rfam by way of RNAcentral